GUUGUUGCAGUUAAAAAGCUCGUAGUUGAAUUUCGGGAUCAAAGAAUCGGUCAUGCCUUGGUAUGUACUGGCUUUAUUGGUUCUCACCUUCUAAAGAACCAUAAUGUCAUUUAUUUGAUGUUAUGGGGAAUUAGGACUGUUACCUUGAAAAAAUUAGAGUGUUUAAAGCAAGCUUACGCUUGAAUACAUUAGCAUGGAAUAAUGAAAUAGGACAUCAGAUUCUAUUUUGUUGGUUUCUAGGAUCGAUGUAAUGAUUAAUAGGGAUAGUUGGGGGCAUUAGUAUUCAAUUGUCAGAGGUGAAAUUCUUGGAUUUAUUGAAGACUAACUACUGCGAAAGCAUUUGCCAAGGAUGUUUUCAUUAAUCAAGAACGAAAGUUAGGGGAUCGAGGACGAUCAGAUACCGUCGUAGUCUUAACCAUAAACUAUGCCGACUAGGGAUCGGAUGAUGUUAAUUUUAUAAUGACUCAUUCGGCGCCUUACGGGAAAC
Molecule: ribosomal RNA, 487 nt
Filed under: uncultured Glomeraceae
Lineage: Eukaryota; Fungi; Glomeromycota; Glomeromycetes; Glomerales; Glomeraceae
Description: SSU rRNA
Rfam family: Eukaryotic small subunit ribosomal RNA
Source: RNAcentral